Molecule: non-coding RNA, 541 nt
Organism: Sturnus vulgaris (Common starling)
Lineage: Eukaryota; Metazoa; Chordata; Aves; Passeriformes; Sturnidae
Source: RefSeq, a predicted model, not a curated record
CAGAACAAAUAACAGGGGAAAGAAAAGGUGGCUUUUCACAGGCAUUGUGCCCUAAGCUAACACCUCAAGCAGUGGAACUGACUGCAGACCCUAAAGUGCUGUUCAUGGUGAAGCAACAAUUGCUGCUCUCUUCUUAUUUGUUGGGACAGAAAGAAUCCAUGUCUCUAUCUUCCUUUCCUUCAGAGAGCAGAGACCCUGCCUGGAACAGGAGCUGCCAUUAUAAUGAAGUACUUGAUUUGCCUUUGUACUAAUUCUUUGCCUGGAUUCUCUCAACAACUCCUUCGCUUGAAAGCCUGCCUGUAUUUUGAAGGAUCAGCAAGCUAAGAGAAGCAGAGUUCAGAUUGUUGAACAAUGGGAUUUGAAGUUUGGAGGAGGAAGAUUUGGAUACAGUGGAAUUAUUUGGGAUGUGAACAUCAGGCAGGAGAACAACCACAGACUUUUAGCUCUCUUCAGGACCAGACCCAGCAUAUUUCACUCACCUUGGUGACUCCUCCCUGGCACCUGCUUCUUGUCCCUAUAUGAGGCUGAGAGACAGACAGAG